RNAcentral lists this long non-coding RNA (793 nucleotides) under Lactuca sativa (garden lettuce). RNAcentral's name for it is "long non-coding RNA (LSAT_LNC005233)". Lineage: Eukaryota; Viridiplantae; Streptophyta; Magnoliopsida; Asterales; Asteraceae. The record is from RNAcentral.
UCCUAUAAUGUUUUUCUAAUAGAGAUUUUGGAAAAAGCAAGUGAUGUUACUCGUAUAAAGGUACGAAUUAAUGUGAAGUGUUAUUAACAAAACUAUUGUAACAAAAUUAGGGUAUCGAUUAUCGAAUUAUAUUUUUGUAUGUAUUUAGUUUUUUUCUUCUCCGACGAUUUUUUUUGUUUUUUUUUUUCUUAUCUCUGAUUAUUUACACUGGUGACUCUACACUUCAAAAAUUCGAUAUGAUCUUUGCAUUUCAGGAUUUUGAUGAAGAUGAGCUUGAUUUUUAAGAAUACUCAAAUUUGAUGUAGAUGGAUAUGAAGCCACGUAUUUUUUAUAAGGUUUUUUACGACGAAUCUACCGGGUUAAUCAUAUCAAAUAGGAUAAUUCUAUCUACAUAAUUCAAUUUCUAACUACACGAUUGAAUGAGUGAUUCGAUAAGUCGACUACGUAAAUAAUUGUUCUUAUUAAUUUUUAAUGUUAUAUAAUACUAUUCAAUUAUUCUUAUUAGGUUACAAUUGAUGGAAAUUAUGAUAAUUAAUAAGUUAUAACUUAUAGAAACCAUAAGGGGAUUUUAAACACACCGGUAAAAAGUCAAAAUCGUUACGAUAGUAAAUUCAAUUAAAGUAAUAUUAAAAAAUAUAAUGAUUUAUAUCCAAAUGACACGGGUGUCUGUUUUUCAAAACUAUUUUCGUGUUCUUUUUUAAGUAACUUACAAAGUGGUCCUUGUGUUUUGAUUUGAUUUAUAGUUGUUUUCCUAAAUUUACAAAUUAGUAUGUUAUAUACCUGUAGUUUAAAA